UAGAAAUGUACACAUGGAAAAGCUGAACCGGAAUAAUAUCUGCCGGCCCUCUCCCAACCUCCAUGAGUCUGAAGUCCCAAGAGUCAAAGACUGUUGGACAAUUCUUGGGGCUGUAGUGAGGAGGAGGAGUGGACAGGGGAAAUCACUUUCACGACUGCACUGUUAAUCUGGAUGCUCUCCAAUACCCAAAGUGAGUUACAGACAACCUCCCCUCAGUCCGGUGUCCUGAUGAUUAAGCAAGGAGAACAGUUCUAGCAAAACAGAAAAUCAGCAGCAGUAUAGCCCAGAGGGUUCAGCAUUACAGAAUGCAGAGGUAGCAAAGGCACUUCUUCUCCUUAGUUCAAGGGAAAUUUGUCAUGCUCCUUCCCAUAAUGUCUUCAGCCCUGCUGUACAGCGAUCAGAAGAGCCUUGCCGUUCUCAUCCUGGAGGAUCCCCAGUGAGAUGGAUUAUGGAUGCCCAUGGGCAUGUUUUCUCCUGUGUUAAACCAAACGUACUUGUUCCCAAAUAUCCUUAGCUGAAAGAGGAGCAGCCACAGAGGACGUGGAGAAGCACAGCACAGACUGUUGUGUUUGAGUCACCCCAUCCCCUCCGCUUCCCAAUGUGUUGAUGCCCAUAACAGUACAGGAAACGAAAUAUGUCCAUUCUCUUCUUAAAGUGCAUCCAAUAUGCUUAGACACACACUUGAGCAUAAUUAUAUACCCUCCCCCAAAUUUAGAAGCAAGAAACAUAAUAAGCUUCAUCCUUCCUCUAUCGUUUUGGGACCCAUAGUUAGUACAAACUCAGUAACACUUGGAACAGGGAGGGAAGUUGAACCCUGCCUGCUGUGUUCUCCAUGUUAAAGUAGCUGCCAGGAAUGGUGCACAGAGCCCAUGCACACACCCUUUGGUCUCCCUUGAUUUAAAUAAAACACCCCCCUCCUCUCCAGGGGCAGGAUGAGAUUUGUUUUUGUUUCAAUCUUUGCUUUUGUUUCCACUCCCAUGAGGGUGAGAUGGUCACCUCAGCGGCAGGUGGGAAGAGGGACGCAGAGGGUGGAUCAUCACCUCUCAGUCCCCACAGGUGCCACCUUAUUUAUUUCUUUUAUUUAUUUAACAUAUUUAUAUACCACUCACUACUGAAGUCUCUAGGCAGUUUACAGCAAUAAAACAAACCAAGAAGUUUUAAAACAAAACAUAUAACAAGUUCAAAUUAAAAUACCCAUAAAACUACACAAAAGCGAAAAAGCUUGGCUGAAGAGAGGUAUCUUUAGUUGUUUGCUGCCAAUGCCCUUCCUCACUCCACAGGGGCAUGGUGUUCAUUUUCUCAUCCACAUCCCCUGGGGCGUGCCUCUUCCUUCCCUCCCUACCCCACAGCAUGAACUAGGAAUUCCCCUGCCCCCACUGCCUGGUUUGGGACAUAGUUUGAGAGUGCUCAUGUGCUGCCGUAACCAUGGCAGCAUGGCCUGAGAACACCGAGCACCCACCCACAUGUCCUUCACCUCCAGCAACAAAAUGCUUUGGACUACAUGCUUCUUGCACACCAACCCUCCCCUCGGCCUCUCUUGUCUCUAACACCAGAAGAGUUCACCUCAUUUCCUGUUGUAUUUUAUCAUGUUUACUGCUCA
Hemicordylus capensis (graceful crag lizard) is the source of this 1600-nucleotide long non-coding RNA. RefSeq lists it as uncharacterized. The record is from RefSeq and is a predicted model, not a curated record. The transcript is spliced from 3 exons. NCBI's taxonomy places the organism in Eukaryota, Metazoa, Chordata, Lepidosauria, Squamata, Cordylidae.